RNAcentral lists this ribosomal RNA (1417 nucleotides) under Salmonella enterica subsp. enterica serovar Chester. Its description in RNAcentral is "bacterial SSU rRNA". It matches the Rfam family "Bacterial small subunit ribosomal RNA". The record is from RNAcentral. Lineage: Bacteria; Pseudomonadati; Pseudomonadota; Gammaproteobacteria; Enterobacterales; Enterobacteriaceae.
ACACAUGCAAGUCGAACGGUAACAGGAAGCAGCUUGCUGCUUUGCUGACGAGUGGCGGACGGGUGAGUAAUGUCUGGGAAACUGCCUGAUGGAGGGGGAUAACUACUGGAAACGGUGGCUAAUACCGCAUAACGUCGCAAGACCAAAGAGGGGGACCUUCGGGCCUCUUGCCAUCAGAUGUGCCCAGAUGGGAUUAGCUUGUUGGUGAGGUAACGGCUCACCAAGGCGACGAUCCCUAGCUGGUCUGAGAGGAUGACCAGCCACACUGGAACUGAGACACGGUCCAGACUCCUACGGGAGGCAGCAGUGGGGAAUAUUGCACAAUGGGCGCAAGCCUGAUGCAGCCAUGCCGCGUGUAUGAAGAAGGCCUUCGGGUUGUAAAGUACUUUCAGCGGGGAGGAAGGUGUUGUGGUUAAUAACCGCAGCAAUUGACGUUACCCGCAGAAGAAGCACCGGCUAACUCCGUGCCAGCAGCCGCGGUAAUACGGAGGGUGCAAGCGUUAAUCGGAAUUACUGGGCGUAAAGCGCACGCAGGCGGUCUGUCAAGUCGGAUGUGAAAUCCCCGGGCUCAACCUGGGAACUGCAUUCGAAACUGGCAGGCUUGAGUCUUGUAGAGGGGGGUAGAAUUCCAGGUGUAGCGGUGAAAUGCGUAGAGAUCUGGAGGAAUACCGGUGGCGAAGGCGGCCCCCUGGACAAAGACUGACGCUCAGGUGCGAAAGCGUGGGGAGCAAACAGGAUUAGAUACCCUGGUAGUCCACGCCGUAAACGAUGUCUACUUGGAGGUUGUGCCCUUGAGGCGUGGCUUCCGGAGCUAACGCGUUAAGUAGACCGCCUGGGGAGUACGGCCGCAAGGUUAAAACUCAAAUGAAUUGACGGGGGCCCGCACAAGCGGUGGAGCAUGUGGUUUAAUUCGAUGCAACGCGAAGAACCUUACCUGGUCUUGACAUCCACAGAACUUUCCAGAGAUGGAUUGGUGCCUUCGGGAACUGUGAGACAGGUGCUGCAUGGCUGUCGUCAGCUCGUGUUGUGAAAUGUUGGGUUAAGUCCCGCAACGAGCGCAACCCUUAUCCUUUGUUGCCAGCGGUCCGGCCGGGAACUCAAAGGAGACUGCCAGUGAUAAACUGGAGGAAGGUGGGGAUGACGUCAAGUCAUCAUGGCCCUUACGACCAGGGCUACACACGUGCUACAAUGGCGCAUACAAAGAGAAGCGACCUCGCGAGAGCAAGCGGACCUCAUAAAGUGCGUCGUAGUCCGGAUUGGAGUCUGCAACUCGACUCCAUGAAGUCGGAAUCGCUAGUAAUCGUGGAUCAGAAUGCCACGGUGAAUACGUUCCCGGGCCUUGUACACACCGCCCGUCACACCAUGGGAGUGGGUUGCAAAAGAAGUAGGUAGCUUAACCUUCGGGAGGGCGCUUACC